This 254-nucleotide ribosomal RNA is filed under the name uncultured bacterium. Its description in RNAcentral is "partial 16S ribosomal RNA". It matches the Rfam family "Bacterial small subunit ribosomal RNA", at positions 524 to 776 of the family's 1533-position model. The record is from RNAcentral.
UACGUAGGGUGCGAGCGUUAAUCGGAAUUACUGGGCGUAAAGCGUGCGCAGGCGGUUGUGCAAGACAGAUGUGAAAUCCCCGGGCUUAACCUGGGAACUGCGAUGGAAACUAGCGAGCUGGAGUGUGGCAGAGGGGGGUGGAAUUCCGCGUGUAGCAGUGAAAUGCGUAGAGAUGCGGAGGAACACCGAUGGCGAAGGCAGCCCCCCUGGGCUAACACUGACGCUCAGGCACGAAAGCGUGGGGAGCAAACAGG